RNAcentral lists this ribosomal RNA (337 nucleotides) under Actinomyces sp. oral taxon 448. Its description in RNAcentral is "bacterial SSU rRNA". It matches the Rfam family "Bacterial small subunit ribosomal RNA", at positions 172 to 487 of the family's 1533-position model. The record is from RNAcentral. Lineage: Bacteria; Bacillati; Actinomycetota; Actinomycetes; Actinomycetales; Actinomycetaceae.
GAUGUUCUGGCUGCCCUCCCCAUGGGGUGGUUUGGAAAAGAUUCGGCCUGGUUUUGGUUGUUUUGGUGGGGGGAUGGGCUCGCGGCUUAUCAGCUUGUUGGUGGGGUGAUGGCCUACCAAGGCGGUGACGGGUAGCCGGCCUGAGAGGGUGGACGGUCACACUGGGACUGAGACACGGCCCAGACUCCUGCGGGAGGCAGCAGUGGGGGAUUUUGCACAAUGGGCGCAAGCCUGAUGCAGCGACGCCGCGUGAGGGAUGGAGGCCUUCGGGUUGUGAACCUCUGUCGCCGGUGAUGUAGGCUCUGCUUUGUGGGUGGGGUUGACGUAGCCGGGUAUG